This 533-nucleotide long non-coding RNA is filed under the name Salmo salar (Atlantic salmon). RNAcentral describes it as "lncRNA (ENSSSAG00000091332.1)". Lineage: Eukaryota; Metazoa; Chordata; Actinopteri; Salmoniformes; Salmonidae. The record is from RNAcentral.
GACAAGGAUAGGAUAGGACAAGUACCUGCCAAGGCAAACCAAAGGACAGGGUUGGACAAUGAUAGGUUAGAAUAGGAUAGGACAUGGACCUGAUAGGACAAGGACAGAACAAGACUAGGAGAGGAUAGGAUAGGACAAGGUCAGGAUAGGACAGGAAAGGACAAAUCCAAGGACAGGUCGGUAGAGGAUAGGACAAGGACAGGCUAGGACAAGGACAGGUUAGUAUAGGACAUGAAAAUGAUAGGACAAGGUAGGGACAGGUUAGGAGAGGACAGGACAAGGUCAGGAUAGGACAAACCCAAGGACUAGUUAGGAUAGGACAAGGUCAGGGAAAGGCUGGGACAGGACUAACCAAAGGACAGGAUAGGACAAGGUAAGGGAAAGGCUGGUACAGGACUAACCAAAGGACAGGAUAGGACAAGGUCAGGGAAAGGCUGGGACAGGACUAACCAAAGGACAGGACAGGAUAGGACAAGGUAAGGGAAAGGCUGGUACAGGACUAACCAAAGGACAGGACAAGGUCAGGGAAAGGC